CUCUCUCUCCUCUCCUCUCCUCCUUCUCCUCCAUUUUUCAUAAUAGUUUUAGUUUUCUUUUGGGUAUUCAUAGAAUUUCUCACACAAGUUUCAAGGAUUCAUCAAAAGCUACAAGAUUCAAGCUUUAGGUAUUUGUGGGAGUUGUAAUUCAAGGGAAGUCAUAUUAGCUUCCUAGCUAAUUGUGGCUACCUUUGUGUUCUCCUACACUUCUAUAAUCUUUUCUCUUUGAAUUUUGUAUCUUUGAUGUUCAUAGUUAUGGGUUGUGAGUAAUUUCUUUGUUGGGAGUUAGGGUUGUGAAGCCCUAACUCAUCUUGUAUAAAUAUUGAUGCUUUAAUUUUAAUAAAUGCAAUUUUCAUUGUAUUGA
This 364-nucleotide long non-coding RNA is filed under the name Rosa chinensis. Its description in RNAcentral is "sRNA RchiOBHm_Chr1g0373411". The record is from RNAcentral. Lineage: Eukaryota; Viridiplantae; Streptophyta; Magnoliopsida; Rosales; Rosaceae.